CAGACUCCAAAUUUGUAGAGGACAAGGCUAGUUUGUUGUUGUCAUAUAAGUCAUCAUGUUAGCAAGCAAGGACCUUAUUUUCCAAAUUCAUUUUUAUUACUUUCUUAUUUACAGGCUGAUCUAUUUCUGUUGGCUCCCCCCUUGUCUAUUUUACAAUCAUCUUUCAAUGUGAAGAACGAAAUUAUCUCACCUCAACCUGGGCUCAUGGAGCUUCUGCGACGAUUUCGUCGACUUCUUAUUUCCUAUCCAUUUCUGUCUAAUUUGGUUCCAGAGAAGACGACCUACAGCCAAAGCCUUCUAUUAUAAGAUCAAAAUCAUAAAAACAAAAUUAAGUAAAACCUCAAACGAACAAGUAAUAGCAACUAUUGUGCGCACAGGUUACAAAUAAACGAAUACCACACCCUACAAAGUGCCAAUGGGCCUAACUGAAUAUAUUUUCCUUCUCAAGAAUAGUAGUUUUAUUUCCUGGCGAAGAUUCUCCAAUGGAAAUCAAAAAAAUCGAUCCAUUUAUAAUCCUCCACUAGUUCGAUUAAUGGAUUGCCCAAUUGGAAAUGACAACAGAAGGCACAAGUCAUUAGAAGAAGUUCUAAAAUGCAAUACAUACAGUAUACCGACAAAUUACCCUAUUUCCUCUAGUGAGGGCUUGUUAGACAUUAACCGGGAUUAAAGUAGGACAGCCAACAAAUCACAUUCCACCAUGAACCAAAAUAUGUAGCCUCACGAUAGAAAACAAAGUAUCCUCUGACAUUGGCAAACCAAAAUAUAAAUGACAUCGAACAGUAAUUAACGUUACCAACAAUGGACAAAUCAACUUGCCGUGAUUUAUAUAUUCAGAAGCGUUGUUCGAACAACUAGCAUCAUAAAGAUGAACUUAUUGUUGAAAUGCUUCCAAGUGACUGAACUGCACUAUUUUCCAUCUCACAUGCACUGGUGGUUCAGAAGUCCUCAGAUAGCUAGCUUUUGAAGCCAUCAAAGAGUGGCGUUUUGGACCUUGCACGGGCUUGUUAUGUGAAGAAAUCAAUUCCACUUUAGUACAGCAUCCAAUACAACCACUGCUCUGUUUCAAAUGACAUCAGCUGUAAGAAAUCAACUUAAGCAGCACAGAGUGACUAAAAUCAUGUAUUAAUACUUCAAGUUCUCUGAUGAGAUAAUUCCUCCCAUCCAACCCCAAAAAAAUCAUAUAGAAAGAAAUUGAAAAUUAUACAUAUUUCUCUAACCACAAGACAAGUGGAAACCAUGUUGACAAUAACUGCAAAUGAACCGAGUCAAGCCAGGCAGAGGUUCUUCUUGUUUGUUUAUUUAAUAGGCAAGAUUAUGUUCAGCCAAUGUUCUUAAUGAGCUUAAAUUGUGAGUUCUUGAUUGUCCCUUUGUUCACAGAAUGAACAACUCUAUUUGGAAUAAAAUUUACAAUAUUGAGGGUAUAUUUCCAAACAUAUUUUGAAAAAAA
Molecule: long non-coding RNA, 1447 nt
Filed under: Olea europaea (common olive)
Lineage: Eukaryota; Viridiplantae; Streptophyta; Magnoliopsida; Lamiales; Oleaceae
Description: long non-coding RNA (OEUR_LNC010997)
Source: RNAcentral